AAGGUCGUGGUGCCAAAACCCCCCAGCGGAAAAAUGGCCAAAAAACGGGUCGUGGGCUAUAGCCUUGGUGGGGGGCGCGGGCGAAGUUCGUCCGCCGGGCUCGGAAUGGGGCGAGGCUUUGCGAGGGGCCUUGGGGUGCCAAAAAUAAGCCGCGGGGAAAGCCGCGCCCAAAAAUAAGCGCCCGAAGGUCGUGGUGCCAAAACCCCCCAGCGGAAAAAUGGCCAAAAAACGGGUCGUGGGCUAUAGCCUUGGUGGGGGGCGCGGGCGAAGUUCGUCCGCCGGACUCGGAAUGGGGCGAGACUUUGCGAGGGGCCUCAGGGUGCCAAAAAUAAGCCGCGCCCGAAAAUAAGCGCCCGAAGGUCGUGGGGCCAAAACCCCCCAGCGGAAAAAUGGCCAAAAAACGGGUCGUGGGCUAUAGGCUUGGUGGGGGGCGCGGGCGAAUUUCGUCCGCCGGACUCUUAAUGGGGCGAGACUUUCCGAGGGGCCUCGGGGUGCCAAAAAUAAGCCACGGGCAAAGCCGCGCCCAAAAAUAAGCGCCCGAAGGUCGUGGUGCCAAAACACCCCAUGCGGAAAAAUGGCCAAAAAACGGGUCGUGGGCUAUAGCCUUGGUGGGGGGCGCGGGCGAAGUUCGUCCGCCGGACUCGGAAUUGGAGCGAGACUUUUGCGAGGGGCCUCGGGGUGCCAAAAAUAAGCCGCGGGCAAAGCCGCGCCCAAAAAUAACCGCCCAAAGGUCGUGGUGCCAAAACCCCCCAGCGGAAAAAUGGCCAAAAAACGGGUCGUGGGCUAUAGCCUUGGUGGGGGGCGCGGGCGAAGUUCGUCCGCCGGACUCGGAACGGGGCGAGACUUUGCGAGGGGCCUCGGGGUGCCAACAAAAAGUCGCGGGCACAGCUGCGCCCAAAAAUAAGCGCCCGAAGGUCGUGGUGCCAAAACCCCCCAGCGGAAAAAUGGCCAAAAAACGGGUCGUGGGCUAUAGCCUUGGUGGGGGGCGCGGGCGAAGUUCGUCCGCCGGACUCUGAAUGGGGCGAGACUUUACGAGGGGCCUCGCGGUGCCAAAAAUAAGCCGCGGGCAAAGCCGCGCCCAAAAAUAAGCGCCCGAAGGUCGUGGUGCGAAAACCCCCCAGCGGAAAAAUGGCCAAAAAACGGGUCGUGGGCUAUAGCCUUGGUGGGGGGCGCGGGCGAAGUUCGUCCGCCGGACUCGGAAUGGGGCGAGACUUUGCGAGGGGCCUCGGGGUGCCAAAAAUAAGCCGCGGGCAAAGCCGCGCCCAAAAAUAAGCGCCCGAAGGUCGUGGUGCCAAAACCCCCCAGCAGAAAAAAGGCCAAAAAACGGGUCGUGGGCUAUAGCCUUGGUGGGGGGCGCGGGCGAAGUUCGUCCGCCGGACUCAGAAUGGGGCGAGACUUUGCGAGGGGCCUCGGGGUGCCAAAAAUAAGCCGCGGGCAAAGCCGCGCCAAAAAAUAAGCGCCCGAAGGUCGUGGUGCCAAAACCCCCCAGCGGAAAAAAGACCGCCAAAAAAGUGGUGGGCUAUAGCCUUGGUGGGGGGCGCGGGCGAAGUUCGUCCGCCGGACUCGGAAUGGGGCGAGACUUUGCGAGGGUCCUCGGGGUGCCAAAAAUAAGCCGCGCCCGAAGGUCGUGGUGCCAAAACCCUCCAGCGGAAGAAUAAUCAAAAAACGGGUCGUGGGNNNNNNNNNNNNNNNNNNNNNNNNNNNNNNNNNNNNNNNNNNNNNNNNNNNNNNNNNNNNNNNNNNNNNNNNNNNNNNNNNNNNNNNNNNNNNNNNNNNNNNNNGCCGCGCCCAAAAAUAAGCGCCCGAAGGUCGUGGUGCCAAAACCCCCCAGCGGAAAAAUGGCCAAAAAACGGGUCGUGGGCUAUAGGCUUGGUGGGGGGCGCGGGCGAAUUUCGUCCGCCGGACUCGGAAUGGGGCGAGACUUUCCGAGGGGCCUCGGGGUGCCAAAAAUAAGCCGCGGGCAAAGCCGCGCCCAAAAAUAAGCGCCCGAAGGUCGUGGUGCCAAAUCCUCCAGCGGAAAAAUGGCCAAAAAACGGGUCGUGGCCUAUAGCCUUGGUGGGGGGCGCGGGCGAAGUUCGUCCCCCGGACUCGGAAUGGGGCGAGACUUUGGGAGGGGCCUCGGGGUGCCAAAAAUAAGCCGCGGGCAAAGCCGCGCCCAAAAAUAAGCGCCCGAAGGUCGUGGUGCCAAAAGCCCCCAGCGGAAAAAUGGCCAAAAAACGGGUGACCUAUUGCCUUGGUGGGGGGCGCGGGCGAAGUUCGUUCGCCGGACUCGGAAUGGGGCGAGACUUUGCGAGGGGCCUCGGGGUACCAAAAAUAAGCCGCGGGCAAAGCCGCGCCCAAAAAUAAGCGCCUGAAGGUCGUGGUGCCAAAACCCCCCAGUGGAAAAAUGGCCAAAAAACGGGUCGUGGGCUAUAGCCUUGGUGGGGGGCGCGGGCGAAGUUCGUCCGCCGGACUCGGAAUGGGGCGAGACGUUGCGAGGGGCCUCGGGGUGCCAAAAAUAAGCCGCGGGCAAAGCCGCGCCCAAAAAUAAGCGCCCGAAGGUCGUGGUGCCAAAACCCCCCAUCGGAAAAAUGGCCAAAAAACGGGUCGUGGGCUAUAGCCUUGGUGGGGGGCGCGGGCGAAGUUCGUCCGCCGGACUCGGAAUGGGGCGAGACUUUGCGAGGGGCCUCGGGGUGCCAAAAAUAAGCCGCGCCCGAAGGUCGUGGGGCCAAAACCCCCCAGCGGAAAAAUGGCCAAAAAACGGGUCGUGGGCUAUAGCCUUGGUGGGGGGCGCGGGCGAAUUUCGUCCGCCGGACUCGGAAUGGGGCGAGACGUUGCGAGGGGCCUCGGGGUGCCAAAAAUAAGCCGCGGGCAAAGCCGCGCCCAAAAAUAAGCGCCCGAAGGUCGUGGUGCCAAAACCCCCCAGCGGAAAAAUGGCCAAAAAACGGGUCGUGGGCUAUAGCCUUGGUGGGGGGCGCGGGCGAAGUUCGUCCGCCGGACUCGGAAUGGAGCGAGACUUUGCGAGGGGCCUCGGGGUGCCAAAAAUAAGCCGCGCCCGAAGGUCCUGGUGCCAAAACC
RNAcentral lists this long non-coding RNA (3057 nucleotides) under Citrus x clementina. Its description in RNAcentral is "Citrus clementina (C. clementina) long non-coding RNA (CCLE_LNC005059)". The record is from RNAcentral. Lineage: Eukaryota; Viridiplantae; Streptophyta; Magnoliopsida; Sapindales; Rutaceae.